Molecule: ribosomal RNA, 2211 nt
Filed under: Triticum aestivum (bread wheat)
Lineage: Eukaryota; Viridiplantae; Streptophyta; Magnoliopsida; Poales; Poaceae
Description: partial small subunit ribosomal RNA
Source: RNAcentral
AUGCCAAAUGACAAGGCCCCGGGUCCGGAUGGAUUCACGGGCCUAUUCUUCAAAAAGUGUUGGGGCACUGUCAAGCACGACCUCAUGAGGGCCAUUGCUCGUUUCGAAUCCCUCCACACUUUGAACCUCCACUGGCUCAACUCUGCGAAUGUGGUGCUCUUGCCAAAAAAGGAUGGGGCGGAGGGGAUUGCGGACUAUAGGCCUAUUAGUCUUAUCCAUGCGAUCGCCAAGAUUAUUGCAAAGGUGCUCUCCACUCGGCUCACUCCGCACAUGACGGCCCUCAUCUCCAAUGCCCAAAGCGCCUUCAUCAAAACGAGAAGUAUUCAUGAUAACUUCAUGUAUGUUCGCAAUCUUGCACGACGCCUGCACAAGAGCAAGACCCCAUCCCUCCUUUUCAAAUUAUAUAUUCGCAAGGCAUUCGACUCGGUCAAAUGGGAAUAUAUACUGGACCUUCUCCAACGGCGAGGUUUCCCAAGCAAGUUUAGGGAUUGGAUCACGGCGCUUCUUAGUUCUUCAUCAUCGAGGAUUAUCCUCAAUGGCAUUGCCGGCAACCCAAUCAAGCAUGGUCGUGGUUUCCGGCAAGGGGACCCCAUCUCCCCGCUCCUGUUCGUCAUCGCCAUUGACCCGCUCCAAAGAAUCCUUGAUGUGGCUACGCGAAAGGGGCUCCUCCACAAAAUUCGGGGUAGGGGUGCCAUGAUGCGAACCUCCCUUUAUGCGGAUGAUGCAGCCAUCUUCCUGGCUCCGAUCAAAAAGGAUGUUGACAAUCUUGCUAAUAUUUUGAGAGGAUUUGGCGAGGUCACGGGACUUUGCACCAACUUUCAUAAGAGUUCGAUGGUGCCCAUUCGUUGCAAUAAUCUUGACUUUGAUCAUAUCACUCAAAAUCUGCCGGCAACUAGGGCUUCUUUCCCCUUGAGGUACUUGGGGCUCCCCCUCUCUGUUUGGAAGCUAAGAUUAGUGGAUCUUCAAUUUCUUGUGGACAAGGUUGCAUCCAAGUUGACAACGUAUGAGGGCCAAAACAUCACCACCAUUGGGCGCAUGGCCCUUGUCAAGUCUGUUCUCACUUCCCAAGUGAUCUACUUCAUCACACCGUUGAUCAUCCCACCAAGUAUCCUCUUCAAAGUCAACCAGCUCGAGAGAGCUUUCCUAUGGUCUGGCUCGGACAACACGACGGGGGCGAAAUGCAAGGUGAAUUGGGAAAUUGUCUGUAGGCCAGUUGAGUAUGGGGGGCUUGGGGUACUCAACAUGGAAAAGUUCGCGCGUGCUCUGCGGCUGCGGUGGCCUUGGUAUGAAUGGAAGGAGCCCACCAAGUUGUGGGUGGGGAUGGGCAACCCGUGCAAUGAGGAGGACCUUAACUUUUUCUAUGCGUCUACCACUAUCACCGUGGGCAAUGGUGCGAAGACACCUUUUUGGGAAUCACCUUGGCUUCUUGGGCGCAAGCCGAAGAACAUUGCGCCACUAAUAUUCGAAGUCUCCUCGCGAAAGAAGUGGAAAGUGCGCGAGGCCAUCAAGCACAACGCGUGGAUGCUCAAGAUCAAGCCUCCAACCAUUAUUUCCGUUGAGUUCAUCACACAAUUUUUCACCCUUUGGAUGCUAUUGGAUGAGGUGCAUCUUGAUGUGCUCGCCGAGGACGACAUUUUAUGGAAACACACGACUAGUGGGCACUACUCGGCGGCCUCGGCAUAUAAGGCGCAAUUCAUAGGGAUGGUGUUUUCACCCAUGGACCAAAUGGUUUGGAAGGUCUGGGGUCCCCCCAAAGUAAAGUUCUUUGCUUGGUUGGCACUUCAAGAUAGAAUUUGGACCGCAGACAGAUUAGCCAAGAGAGGAUGGCCAAAUUGUGGUUUGUGUCCACUUUGCAAGAGGGUGCAAGAAAGCGGGUCACACCUAUUCUUCAAGUGCCGCUAUACUCUAAGGUUGUGGGCGUUGGUCAUUGAAAAAUUUCACAUCUUCGGGUUGGUCACCUCUUCAUGGCGCUUGUUGGACUCCGUCAACGCUUGGUGGACAAGCACUUGUGACGCCGGCACGCCAAACCGUCAAGCCAAAGCCUCGCUCACCAUGCUUGUGACAUGGACAAUUUGGAAUGAGCGAAAUGCAAGAGUGUUUAGGUUUAAAAGCGCUCCACCGACUAUCUUGCUUAACACCAUCUCGACCGAGGCCAACCUUUGGGUCACCGCCGGUGCAAAAAAAUUAGGGUCUUUCAUAUCGCGAGAGUAA